This 433-nucleotide ribosomal RNA is filed under the name uncultured bacterium. Its description in RNAcentral is "partial 16S ribosomal RNA". It matches the Rfam family "Bacterial small subunit ribosomal RNA", at positions 28 to 507 of the family's 1533-position model. The record is from RNAcentral.
GACGAACGCUGGCGGCAUGCCUAACACAUGCAAGUCGAACGAGACCUUCGGGUCUAGGGGCGCUCGGGGACGUACGAACUGGGGACCUGCACUUGGGUUCGCAAUACCUCCCCUAAAGGGGUGCUCAUACCGGAUAAUGUAUUCGGACCAAAGAUUUAUCGCCUUUGGGUGGGCGCGCGUUGGUUUCGCUAGUUGGUAGGGUAAAAGCCUACCAAGGCGACGAUCCAUAGCUGGUCGGAGAGGAUGCUCAGCCACACUGGGACUGCGACACGGCCCAGACUCCGACGGGGGGCAGCAGUGGGGUAUAUUAGACAAUGGGCGAAAGUCUGAUCCAGCAACGCCGCGUGAGUGAGGAAGGGCUUAGGGUUGUAAUGCUCUUUUUCACGGGAUGAUAAUGACAGUACCGGGUGAAUAAGCUCCGGCUAACUCCGUG